Molecule: small nucleolar RNA, 229 nt
Filed under: Huiozyma naganishii CBS 8797
Lineage: Eukaryota; Fungi; Ascomycota; Saccharomycetes; Saccharomycetales; Saccharomycetaceae
Source: RNAcentral
AUCCCCCGUGCCUCGCUCGGCCAGCUGCGUGUCUUCAGGGACACUUUGAUCUGCUGGUCUUGAGCUGGACGUGUUUCCCCUCGCGGGAAGCUGGUGGGGGGAUACUGAACUUCAGUGACGACUUUUUGAGUACAAGGGCGCCCGGGAUACUUCGUAUCCCGCACAAUGGUGUCUUCAAGAUUUAAUACUUCAUUUUAAAUUGUAUUGUAAUUAGUACGUUCAUACAUGU